RNAcentral lists this ribosomal RNA (559 nucleotides) under uncultured Glomeromycotina. RNAcentral's name for it is "partial 18S small subunit ribosomal RNA". It matches the Rfam family "Eukaryotic small subunit ribosomal RNA", at positions 541 to 1109 of the family's 1831-position model. Lineage: Eukaryota; Fungi; Glomeromycota. The record is from RNAcentral.
UUKGGAGGGGCAAAGUCUGGGUGCCAGGCAGCCGCGGUAAWUUCCAGCUCCAAUAGCGUAUAUUUAAAGUUGUUGCAGUUAAAAAAGCUCGUAGUUGAAUUUYGAGAUCAGUACGYUGGUKCGUGCCUUCGGUAWGCAUUGGKGUCASUGGUUUCUCCCUUSUGAAGAACCGUCAUGCCAUUCAGUUGGUGUGGCGGGGAAUCAGGACUGUUACWUUGAAAAAAUUAGAGUGUUUAAAGCAGGCUCGCGCUUGAAUACAUUAGCAUGGAAUAAUGAAAUAGGACGUUUGACCCUAUUUUGUUGGUUUCUAGGAUCGACGUAAUGAUUAAUAGGGAUAGUUGGGGGCAUUAGUAUUCAAUUGUCAGAGGUGAAAUUCUUGGAUUUAUUGAAGACUAASUACUGCGAAAGCAUUUGCCAAGGAUGUUUUCAUUAAUCAAGAACGAAAGUUAGGGGAUCGAAGACGAUCAGAUACCGUCGUAGUCUUAACCAUAARCUAUGCCGAYUAGGGAUCGGAUGAUGUUAAUUUUUUAAUKACUCRKGRCGGCGCCUUACGGGAAAC